UUCCGAAUUCCUUCCUGGGUUUUUCUCUUCACCCCUUAAUCUCAAAUGGGUCGUAGGCCAAACGACCCAGAAAACUCCCGUUUCGCCUCUCUUGUCCUCCUAUUGGUGGCUCUGUUCUCCUGUGUUUUUGUCUAUGCGGUCGUUUCUACACUCUUGAACCCCAAUGUAAAUUCUCAAAAUUCCAGCUUUCAGUAUCUGGAAGCGAUGGCGAGUGGUGAUUUGGGGGAAAGGAAGGGUGAGUGUUGCAGAGGUAUUGAGAAUUUGGAGCUGUGGGGUCCAGCUGUGAAGUGGGGGUCUGAGUUUAAGUUUAAUUCCUCUGUAGAAUGUUGUCAGGCUUGUAAGACCAUGUGUAGCGGCAAUGAUGGGCCCUGCUUGUGUGAUACUUGGGUUUUCUGUGGGAACAAGGAGGCUUGUGGGUCGAGAUUUGGGGAGGUGAGCUUUUUGCCUUUUUCAUUUUUGGUGGAUUUUUAACGGUUUUUGUAGGCGAGUCUGAAAUGCUGAAUUGGAUUGUUAGAUGUUCUUAGUUGAUUCACUUUACUUGAUGUUUUUGGUCGGGGUUGUUUGACUUGACGUGGUGAAUGCAUUAGCGUGAUUGAGAAUUUACUUUCUCUUCCAUUUGUUGUCUGACUAUUAAAGUGUUGCUGCUGAUUUACUUGGUCUAUUGUUUAAUGUGGUCAGAGCCUCAGUGGAGAAUGAAUAAAAGAUCUUUGGAUAAACAUUAUAAUGUCAUUUAAAGAUAUAUAAUUAAGGGGUGGUUAUUCAGAAAGCUUUUGUUUUUGCUCAAUAAUCUCGGUUUAUGUGGUUCAUUUCUGAAGAAGUUUAUUGUGAAUGAUCAAAGUCAAAAGAUACUGCUAUUGCUGUUCAAUCUCAAAUUACCAAGUGCAUUUUAAAAUGAAGAUUGGAGUGUUUUAUUUGCAUGCUUAGUCUCAUUCUAUUGUGGCUUAAUUGGUGGUGCUAAAGGUGGUUUAAUGAUCUAUCUGCUUUUGGUGCAUAAAGUAAAGUGAAUGUUAUUUUAAAUUUUGAAUGGCAAGAGCUAUAGUUUAUAUUUAUCAUUUUGUUCUUCCAGUGUUGGUUGAAGAAACAAAAGGACACUUUGGCCCCUGAUCGGCAAGAGGCAGGUGAAACUGUUAGUUGGACUUCUGGGCUGAUCUUCGGGAAAGGAGAGGUAUACAACAAAAGCUUGAUGAAAGUUCUUAUAUUUUCUUUUUCCAUCUUUAUGAUACUGGCUACAUACUGAUAAUUGUUGAGUACUUUUUUUUUUUUCUGUUGAUUUUUUUUAUAAGCAUAGGUCUUCCUUAAACUUUGUAUUGUUGAAAUCUCAUCUAUUUAUCAUGAUUCAUGUGAGUAACACUUAUCCAGCAGUGACUUCAUUCUUGUGUCUUCUCUGUUCAGGGCAUUGUUGAGAUGGAAACUAAAUAUGGUACUCUUCAUAUAAAAGUGAGUACUUUUUGUUCUAGGAUGCUAUGCUUCUACUGUUUUUGACAUUGUAGGUACUUUGCAUGAGUAUCAUAGAGUAUGGAACUGUUAGUUACAACUCAUUCAGAAGCUAUUAUCUUUUAUAUUGCUUCACCCUUUUUAGCCCCUUCUGCUUUUGCUGCGAGUUACAGUUCGAAGCAACUAAAAAGAAAGAUGAAUAUUUAUGAUCUUAGGAUUGUUACUUGUUAAUGUGAUUGGCAUGUGCCAUUUAGAAUUUUUUUCCCUGUUUCUUUAUUUUUUGUGGUUAAUGAAGGUGAUCCUUGUUGCGAAUUCACCAACUCAAUAAGAACUUCUCCAUAAAAGAUUUGGAGUUCAGCAUAGGUGAUAAAAAAAAUACAUUUAGGAAUUUCAGGAAAAGUAAUAGAUUAUUGCACUCACCAAUUAUUCGUUGUUUGAUGCAGCUUUUUCCCGACUGUGCUCCAUAUUCUGUGGCCUACAUUCUUGAGUUGUUAACAUUGCGGCAUUGCGCGGGUUGCCAAAUAGAUCGUGCUGAAAGCCGG
This 1976-nucleotide long non-coding RNA is filed under the name Theobroma cacao (cacao). Its description in RNAcentral is "long non-coding RNA (TCAC_LNC002162)". The record is from RNAcentral. Lineage: Eukaryota; Viridiplantae; Streptophyta; Magnoliopsida; Malvales; Malvaceae.